GGUCUAUUAGUGUAGUGGUUAUCACUUUCGGUUCUGAACACUUGCUUGUGAGAACAUCCGAACAACCGGAGUUCGAAUCUCCGAUGGACCU
Non-coding RNA from Hanseniaspora valbyensis NRRL Y-1626, 91 nucleotides. The record is from the annotation of a GenBank genome assembly. Lineage: Eukaryota; Fungi; Ascomycota; Saccharomycetes; Saccharomycodales; Saccharomycodaceae.